AUGUGUUUCGAUUCUUCCGAACAAGAGAGGUUUGAUGCUUUUGAAUUCAUUGUAUUAAUUCCACUUCCUACUCGCAGUAUGCUCUUUAUGAUCUCGGCUCAUGAUUCAAUUGCCAUGUAUUUAGCUAUUGAGCCUCAAAUUUUAUGUUUUUAUGUGAUGGCAGCAUCAAAAAGAAAGUCUGAAUUUUCCACGGAAGCCGGCUCAGAAUAUUUGAUUUUGAUCUUAGGUGCAUUUUCCUCUGGAAUCUUAUUGUUUGGGUACGACCGAAUAACUACUGAUAUCUAA
This is a non-coding RNA of Vicia faba (fava bean), 285 nucleotides long. NCBI's taxonomy places the organism in Eukaryota, Viridiplantae, Streptophyta, Magnoliopsida, Fabales, Fabaceae. The record is from the annotation of a GenBank genome assembly.